AACGCACAUUGCGCCCAUUAGUAUUCUAGUGGGCAUGCCUGUUCGAGCGUCAUUUCAACCCUUAAGCCCCUGUUGCUUAGCGUUGGGAGCCCGCGGCCGGAUAAGACCGGCGGCGGCUCCUCAAAGUCAGUUGGCGGAGUCGGUCUCACACCCCAGACGUAGUAAACAAUCGCCUCGAUCGUCUCGUCUCCGGUUGGGCCGGUCCCCUGCCGUAAAACACCCCCCCCCCAGAAGGUUGACCUCGGAUCAGGUAGGAAUACCCGCUGAACUUAA
This 273-nucleotide unclassified non-coding RNA is filed under the name uncultured fungus. Its description in RNAcentral is "partial contains 5.8S ribosomal RNA, internal transcribed spacer 2, and large subunit ribosomal RNA". Lineage: Eukaryota; Fungi. The record is from RNAcentral.